RNAcentral lists this ribosomal RNA (492 nucleotides) under uncultured bacterium. Its description in RNAcentral is "partial 16S ribosomal RNA". It matches the Rfam family "Bacterial small subunit ribosomal RNA", at positions 29 to 507 of the family's 1533-position model. The record is from RNAcentral.
AGUGAACGCUGGCGGUAGGCCUAACACAUGCAAGUCGAACGGCAGCACAGUAAGAGCUUGCCCUUACGGGUGGCGAGUGGCGGACGGGUGAGGAAUACAUCGGAAUCUACUUUUUCGUGGGGGAUAACGUAGGGAAACUUACGCUAAUACCGCAUACGACCUACGGGUGAAAGCAGGGGAUCUUCGGACCUUGCGCGAUUGAAUGAGCCGAUGUCGGAUUAGCUAGUUGGCGGGGUAAAGGCCCACCAAGGCGACGAUACGUAGCUGGUCUGAGAGGAUGAUCAGCCACACUGGAACUGAGACACGGUCCAGACUCCUACGGGAGGCAGCAGUGGGGAAUAUUGGACAAUGGGCGCAAGCCUGACCCAGCCAUACCGCGUGAGUGAAGAAGGCCUUCGGGUUGUAAAGCCCUUUUGUUGGGAAAGAAAAGCAGCAGGUUAAUACCCCGCUGUUCUGACGGUACCCAAAGAAUAAGCACCGGCUAACUUCGUG